Ornithorhynchus anatinus (platypus) is the source of this 81-nucleotide small nucleolar RNA. RefSeq annotates it as small nucleolar RNA SNORD72. NCBI's taxonomy places the organism in Eukaryota, Metazoa, Chordata, Mammalia, Monotremata, Ornithorhynchidae. The record is from RefSeq and is a predicted model, not a curated record. The transcript has a single exon.
AGCUUAUCGAUGAUGGUGAUUAAAAAAAAAUGCCGGAACUAUGCGUUCAGUAGUGAUUUCACCAUUUCUCUGAGAUACGCU